GACGAACGCUGGCGGCGUGCUUAACACAUGCAAGUCGAACGAAGAGCGAUGGAAGCUUGCUUCUAUCAAUCUUAGUGGCGAACGGGUGAGUAACGCGUAAUCAACCUGCCCUUCAGAGGGGGACAACAGUUGGAAACGACUGCUAAUACCGCAUACGAUCUAAUCUCGGCAUCGAGGAUAGAUGAAAGGUGGCCUCUAUGUAUAAGCUAUCACUGAAGGAGGGGAUUGCGUCUGAUUAGCUAGUUGGAGGGGUAACGGCCCACCAAGGCGAUGAUCAGUAGCCGGUCUGAGAGGAUGAACGGCCACAUUGGGACUGAGACACGGCCCAGACUCCUACGGGAGGCAGCAGUGGGGAAUCUUCCGCAAUGGACGAAAGUCUGACGGAGCAACGCCGCGUGAGUGAUGACGGCCUUCGGGUUGUAAAGCUCUGUUAAUCGGGACGAAAGGCCUUCUUGUGAAUAGUGAGAAGGAUUGACGGUACCGGAAUAGAAAGCCACGGCUAACUACGUG
RNAcentral lists this ribosomal RNA (510 nucleotides) under uncultured bacterium. RNAcentral's name for it is "partial 16S ribosomal RNA". It matches the Rfam family "Bacterial small subunit ribosomal RNA", at positions 28 to 507 of the family's 1533-position model. The record is from RNAcentral.